RNAcentral lists this ribosomal RNA (344 nucleotides) under uncultured soil bacterium. RNAcentral's name for it is "bacterial SSU rRNA". It matches the Rfam family "Bacterial small subunit ribosomal RNA", at positions 26 to 363 of the family's 1533-position model. The record is from RNAcentral.
AGAGUGAACGCUGGCGGUAGGCCUAACACAUGCAAGUCGAACGGCAGCACAGUAGGAGCUUGCUCUUACGGGUGGCGAGUGGCGGACGGGUGAGGAAUACAUCGGAAUCUACCUUUUGGUGGGGGAUAACGUAGGGAAACUUACGCUAAUACCGCAUACGCCCUUCGGGGGAAAGCCGGGGACCAGCAAUGGCCUGGCGCUGAUAGAUGAGCCGAUGUCGGAUUAGCUAGUUGGUGAGGUAAUGGCUCACCAAGGCGACGAUCCGUAGCUGGACUGAGAGGAUGAUCAGCCACACUGGAACUGAGACACGGUCCAGACUCCUACGGGAGCAGCAGUGGGGAAUA